This 793-nucleotide ribosomal RNA is filed under the name uncultured bacterium. RNAcentral describes it as "bacterial SSU rRNA". It matches the Rfam family "Bacterial small subunit ribosomal RNA", at positions 46 to 847 of the family's 1533-position model. The record is from RNAcentral.
GCUUAACACAUGCAAGUCGAGGGGUAGAGGCUUUCGGGCCUUGAGACCGGCGCACGGGUGCGUAACGCGUAUGCAAUCUACCUUGUACAGAGGGAUAGCCCAGAGAAAUUUGGAUUAAUACCUCAUAGUAUUUUCGAAUGGCAUCAUUUGAUUAUUAAAGUUCCAACGGUACAAGAUGAGCAUGCGUCCCAUUAGUUAGUUGGUGUGGUAACGGCACACCAAGACGAUGAUGGGUAGGGGUCCUGAGAGGGAGAUCCCCCACACUGGUACUGAGACACGGACCAGACUCCUACGGGAGGCAGCAGUGAGGAAUAUUGGGCAAUGGUCGGAAGACUGACCCAGCCAUGCCGCGUGCAGGAAGACGGCCCUAUGGGUUGUAAACUGCUUUUGUACGGGAAGAAACCCUCCUACGUGUAGGAGCUUGACGGUACCGUAAGAAUAAGCAUCGGCUAACUCCGUGCCAGCAGCCGCGGUAAUACGGAGGAUGCGAGCGUUAUCCGGAAUCAUUGGGUUUAAAGGGUCCGUAGGCGGUCUUAUAAGUCAGUGGUGAAAUCUCCUAGCUCAACUAGGAAACUGCCAUUGAUACUGUAGGACUUGAAUUUUUGUGAAGUAACUAGAAUAUGUAGUGUAGCGGUGAAAUGCUUAGAUAUUACAUGGAAUACCAAUUGCGAAGGCAGGUUACUAACAAACGAUUGACGCUGAUGGACGAAAGCGUGGGGAGCGAACAGGAUUAGAUACCCUGGUAGUCCACGCUGUAACGAUGGAUACUAGCUGUUUGACGCAGUUGAGUGGC